UAACACAUGCAAGUCGAACGGUAACAGGAAACAGCUUGCUGUUUCGCUGACGAGUGGCGGACGGGUGAGUAAUGUCUGGGAAACUGCCCGAUGGAGGGGGAUAACUACUGGAAACGGUAGCUAAUACCGCAUAACGUCGCAAGACCAAAGAGGGGGACCUUCGGGCCUCUUGCCAUCGGAUGUGCCCAGAUGGGAUUAGCUAGUAGGUGGGGUAACGGCUCACCUAGGCGACGAUCCCUAGCUGGUCUGAGAGGAUGACCAGCCACACUGGAACUGAGACACGGUCCAGACUCCUACGGGAGGCAGCAGUGGGGAAUAUUGCACAAUGGGCGCAAGCCUGAUGCAGCCAUGCCGCGUGUAUGAAGAAGGCCUUCGGGUUGUAAAGUACUUUCAGCGGGGAGGAAGGGAGUAAAGUUAAUACCUUUGCUCAUUGACGUUACCCGCAGAAGAAGCACCGGCUAACUCCGUGCCAGCAGCCGCGGUAAUACGGAGGGUGCAAGCGUUAAUCGGAAUUACUGGGCGUAAAGCGCACGCAGGCGGUUUGUUAAGUCAGAUGUGAAAUCCCCGGGCUCAACCUGGGAACUGCAUCUGAUACUGGCAAGCUUGAGUCUCGUAGAGGGGGGUAGAAUUCCAGGUGUAGCGGUGAAAUGCGUAGAGAUCUGGAGGAAUACCGGUGGCGAAGGCGGCCCCCUGGACGAAGACUGACGCUCAGGUGCGAAAGCGUGGGGAGCAAACAGGAUUAGAUACCCUGGUAGUCCACGCCGUAAACGAUGUCGACUUGGAGGUUGUGCCCUUGAGGCGUGGCUUCCGGAGCUAACGCGUUAAGUCGACCGCCUGGGGAGUACGGCCGCAAGGUUAAAACUCAAAUGAAUUGACGGGGGCCCGCACAAGCGGUGGAGCAUGUGGUUUAAUUCGAUGCAACGCGAAGAACCUUACCUGGUCUUGACAUCCACGGAAGUUUUCAGAGAUGAGAAUGUGCCUUCGGGAACCGUGAGACAGGUGCUGCAUGGCUGUCGUCAGCUCGUGUUGUGAAAUGUUGGGUUAAGUCCCGCAACGAGCGCAACCCUUAUCCUUUGUUGCCAGCGGUCCGGCCGGGAACUCAAAGGAGACUGCCAGUGAUGAACUGGAGGAAGGUGGGGAAGACGUCAAGUCAUCAUGGCCCUUACGACCAGGGCUACACACGUGCUACAAUGGCGCAUACAAAGAGAAGCGACCUCGCGAGAGCAAGCGGACCUCAUAAAGUGCGUCGUAGUCCGGAUUGGAGUCUGCAACUCGACUCCAUGAAGUCGGAAUCGCUAGUAAUCGUGGAUCAGAAUGCCACGGUGAAUACGUUCCCGGGCCUUGUACACACCGCCCGUCACACCAUGGGAGUGGGUUGCAAAAGAAGUAGGUAGCUUAACCUUCGGGAGGGCGCUUACCACUUUGUGAUUCAUGACUGGGGUGAAGUAGU
Molecule: ribosomal RNA, 1450 nt
Filed under: uncultured organism
Description: SSU rRNA
Rfam family: Bacterial small subunit ribosomal RNA
Source: RNAcentral